Molecule: ribosomal RNA, 497 nt
Filed under: uncultured bacterium
Lineage: Bacteria
Description: partial 16S ribosomal RNA
Rfam family: Bacterial small subunit ribosomal RNA
Source: RNAcentral
GAUGAACGCUGGCGGCGUGCCUAAUACAUGCAAGUCGAGCGAACGGACGAGAAGCUUGCUUCUCUGAUGUUAGCGGCGGACGGGUGAGUAACACGUGGAUAACCUACCUAUAAGACUGGGAUAACUUCGGGAAACCGGAGCUAAUACCGGAUGAUAUUUUGAACCGCAUGGUUCAAAAGUGAAAGACGGUCUUGCUGUCACUUAUAGAUGGAUCCGCGCUGCAUUAGCUAGUUGGUAAGGUAACGGCUUACCAAGGCGACGAUGCAUAGCCGACCUGAGAGGGUGAUCGGCCACACUGGAACUGAGACACGGUCCAGACUCCUACGGGAGGCAGCAGUAGGGAAUCUUCCGCAAUGGGCGAAAGCCUGACGGAGCAACGCCGCGUGAGUGGUGAAGGUCUUCGGAUCGUAAAACUCUGUUAUUAGGGAAGAACAUAUGUGUAAGUAACUGUGCACAUCUUGACGGUACCUAAUCAGAAAGCCACGGCUAACUACGUG